GCAUAUCAAUAAGCGGAGGAAAAGAAACCAACAGGGAUUGCCCUAGUAACGGCGAGUGAAGCGGCAACAGCUCAAAUUUGAAAUCUGGCGUCUUUGGCGUCCGAGUUGUAAUUUGCAGAGGGCGCUUUGGCAUUGGCAGCGGUCCAAGUUCCUUGGAACAGGACGUCACAGAGGGUGAGAAUCCCGUACGUGGUCGCUAGCCUUUACCGUGUAAAGCCCCUUCGACGAGUCGAGUUGUUUGGGAAUGCAGCUCUAAAUGGGAGGUAAAUUUCUUCUAAAGCUAAAUACUGGCCAGAGACCGAUAGCGCACAAGUAGAGUGAUCGAAAGAUGAAAAGCACUUUGGAAAGAGAGUUAAAAAGCACGUGAAAUUGUUGAAAGGGAAGCGCUUGCAGCCAGACUUGCCUGUAGUUGCUCAUCCGGGUUUCUACCCGGUGCACUCUUCUAUAGGCAGGCCAGCAUCAGUUUGGGCGGUUGGAUAAAGGUCUCUGUCAUGUACCUCUCUUCGGGGAGAACUUAUAGGGGAGACGACAUGCAACCAGCCUGGACUGAGGUCCGCGCAUCUGCUAGGAUGCUGGCGUAAUGGCUGUAAGCGGCCCGUCUUGAAACACGGACCAAGGAGUCUAACAUCUAUGCGAGUGUUUGGGUGUCAAGCCCGAGCGCGUAAUGAAAGUGAACGGAGGUGGGAACCUUUCGGGGUGCACCAUCGACCGAUCCUGAUGUCUUCGGAUGGAUUUGAGUAAGAGCAUAGCUGUUGGGACCCGAAAGAUGGUGAACUAUGCUUGAAUAGGGUGAAGCCAGAGGAAACUCUGGUGGAGGCUCGCAGCGGUUCUGACGUGCAAAUCGAUCGUCAAAUUUGGGCAUAGGGGCGAAAGACUAAUCGAACUAUCUAGUAGCUGG
This 898-nucleotide ribosomal RNA is filed under the name Coniothyrium genistae. Its description in RNAcentral is "LSU rRNA". It matches the Rfam family "Eukaryotic large subunit ribosomal RNA", at positions 38 to 954 of the family's 3401-position model. The record is from RNAcentral. Lineage: Eukaryota; Fungi; Ascomycota; Dothideomycetes; Pleosporales; Coniothyriaceae.